CCUACGGGCGGCUGCAGUGGGGAAUAUUGGACAAUGGGGGGAACCCUGAUCCAGCCAUGCCGCGUGUGUGAAGAAGGCCCUCGGGUUGUAAAGCACUUUAAGUGAGGAAGAACGCCUGGUGGUUAAUACCCAUCAGGAAAGACAUCACUCACAGAAGAAGCACCGGCUAACUCCGUGCCAGCAGCCGCGGUAAUACGGAGGGUGCGAGCGUUAAUCGGAAUUACUGGGCGUAAAGCGCGCGUAGGUGGCUUGAUAAGCCGGUUGUGAAAGCCCCGGGCUCAACCUGGGAACGGCAUCCGGAACUGUCAAGCUAGAGUGCAGGAGAGGAAGGUAGAAUUCCCGGUGUAGCGGUGAAAUGCGUAGAGAUCGGGAGGAAUACCAGUGGCGAAGGCGGCCUUCUGGACUGACACUGACACUGAGGUGCGAAAGCGUGGGUAGCAAACAGGAUUAGAUACCCGUGUAGUC
RNAcentral lists this ribosomal RNA (465 nucleotides) under Vreelandella stevensii. RNAcentral's name for it is "partial 16S ribosomal RNA". It matches the Rfam family "Bacterial small subunit ribosomal RNA", at positions 338 to 795 of the family's 1533-position model. Lineage: Bacteria; Pseudomonadati; Pseudomonadota; Gammaproteobacteria; Oceanospirillales; Halomonadaceae. The record is from RNAcentral.